Molecule: ribosomal RNA, 485 nt
Filed under: uncultured bacterium
Lineage: Bacteria
Description: bacterial SSU rRNA
Rfam family: Bacterial small subunit ribosomal RNA
Source: RNAcentral
GAUGAACGCUAGCGGCAGGCUUAAUACAUGCAAGUUGAGGGGCAGCAUGAUAUACGCGAGUAUAUUGAUGGCGACCGGCGGACGGGUGAGUAAUAGGUAGGAGACCUACCUCAUACAGGGGGAUAGCAUAGAGAAAUCUGUGGUAAUACCCCAUGAGGUUAUAUGAAUAGAGGCAUAUAAUCAAAGCAUAAGCGAUUAUGCGGUAUGAGAGGGGCCUACUGACCAUUAGCUAGUUGGUGAGGUAAGGGCUCACCAAGGCGAAGAUGGUUAGGGGUUUUGAGAGAGAGACCCCCCACAUUGGAACUGAGAUACGGUCCAGACUCCUACGGGAGGCAGCAGUAGGGAAUAUUGGGCAAUGGGCGGAAGCCUGACCCAGCCAUGCCGCGUGAAGGAAGACGGCCUUAUGGGUUGUAAACUUCUUUACUAUGCGACUAACUAGAUUUACGAGAUAAUUCUAUAGAAUGUAAGCAUAGCAAAAGCACCGG